Molecule: long non-coding RNA, 738 nt
Filed under: Apteryx owenii (little spotted kiwi)
Lineage: Eukaryota; Metazoa; Chordata; Aves; Apterygiformes; Apterygidae
Description: lncRNA (ENSAOWG00000005848.1)
Source: RNAcentral
CAUGCGCUUGCAGAGGAUAAAACCUGGUAUUUGAGGUUAAUAAGAACAGCCUUACUGAACCGGGGAGAAAGUUCUAGCACAGUCUAGGCCUGUGUUUUGUCUCUGUAACUGUCUUGUCCGUGACGGUAACAAACAGCAGGUGCCUGGGGAAAGCUGUGACCUGAUGUUACUGAGGACACUGAAGAGGAUCAAAGCUGUGACAGUGGCUUGAAAGAAAGCAAGGCUGUAUCAUCUCCAGGUUGGAAGCAGUCUUCAUAUAUUACUUGAGAGAAGCCAGGACUGUGACCAUCUGAAACAGUGCCAAAAGGAAAAGCUGCUUUUUUGAGGAGAACACAAAUCCUGCUGAUCAGCAGUCACAGGACUUGAAAAAAAAGACAACGUUUUUCUGUGACACUGAAGCAAGACCGCAAUUCACGUGUGGCUGCUCCAGUAAUCGCUGUCACUUUUGUAAGGUGUAUUAUCUUGCAAAGGAGUUAGCUUGCCAGGUGUGGUCUACACCCACACAGAUCUAAUGACCAUAUACUUUAAAGAGAAGGAUAUUUCAAUAGAUCAGUUAAAAACUUGAUUGCACAAUUUUUACAAGGAUGCUYUAUGACUGCUAGAGCCUCCCGUUUUUUCGUGUAACUAUAUAACUUAUCUGCAUAGUUCCUUUGUUGACUCAGCUUUUAAUCAGCAUUAAAAGAAUGAGGUCUUCAYGUUCUGUAUGUUGUGCAAGGAAUGACAAUGUCUGCCUUCUGG